AAACAGUCAUGUGGACCUAGCCUGAGGUAGUAGCCAUAGAUGUCAGUGGCAAGACAGAAGAUUCAGUCUCUAAACAAAACCAUCAACUCUCAGAAAGCAGAGUCUAUGUCCCUGUCCCCAGAAUCUGGCUUGACUUUGCGACUUGCUUUCACCAAUCAAAUGCAGAAGAAGUGAAGUCUGGUCCUCAGGAGGUUUUGUACUCCUCUGCUGACUUUCCUGGUGUGGUAACAACGCCAUGAGUCCUAGUUAUGACUAUCUUACGUGGCCUAGUCACCUCCAUUGUCCAAGCCAAUAGGUACCCAGCCAUCACACCUAGAGUGAGGCCAUUCCAGUCUCCAGCUGAUCUGCUGUGGAUGAACAUGGCCAAGAUCAACUGAGCUUGGCUCAGAUGAGCAAGACUGCCUGGAUAACCUACAAUCUUGUUGGGCCAAGAAGACAUAUGUACAUAGAAAUCUUUGAACUUUGCUGAUAAGAGGAAGCCCAGAAUUCCAAGCCAAGUCCUUCAUUGAAUAGAUGAGGAAAAUAAAGCCAAGAGAAAAUGAUAGGCUUGAC
This 552-nucleotide non-coding RNA is filed under the name Pongo abelii (Sumatran orangutan). Lineage: Eukaryota; Metazoa; Chordata; Mammalia; Primates; Hominidae. The record is from RNAcentral.